UACGAAGGGGGCGAGCGUUGUUCGGAUUUACUGGGCGUAAAGGGCUCGUAGGUGGCCAACUAAGUCAGACGUGAAAUCCCUCGGCUUAACCGGGGAACUGCGUCUGAUACUGGAUGGCUUGAGUUUGGGAGAGGGACGCGGAAUUCCAGGUGUAGCGGUGAAAUGCGUAGAUAUCAGGAAGAACACCCGUGGCGAAAGCGGCUCUCUGGAACGGUACUGACGCUGAGACGCGAAAGCGUGGGGAGCGAACAGG
RNAcentral lists this ribosomal RNA (253 nucleotides) under uncultured bacterium. RNAcentral describes it as "partial 16S ribosomal RNA". It matches the Rfam family "Bacterial small subunit ribosomal RNA", at positions 524 to 776 of the family's 1533-position model. The record is from RNAcentral.